Molecule: ribosomal RNA, 465 nt
Filed under: uncultured bacterium
Lineage: Bacteria
Description: partial 16S ribosomal RNA
Rfam family: Bacterial small subunit ribosomal RNA
Source: RNAcentral
CUACGGGAUGCUCCAGUGAGGAAUUUUGCGCAAUGGGGGAAACCCUGACGCAGCAACGCCGCGUGAGUGAUGAAGGCUUUCGGGUCGUAAAGCUCUGUCAAGUGGGAAGAACAUACAUAAGGCCAAUACCUUUAUGUACUGACGGUACCACUGAAGGAAGCACCGGCUAACUCCGUGCCAGCAGCCGCGGUAAUACGGGGGGUGCAAGCGUUAUUCGGAAUCAUUGGGCGUAAAGAGCACGUAGGCGGUUAUCUAAGUCAGAUGUGAAAGCCCGGGGCUUAACCCCGGAAGUGCAUUUGAUACUGGGAAACUUGAGUAUGGGAGAGGGAAGUGGAAUUCCUGGUGUAGAGGUGAAAUUCGUAGAUAUCAGGAGGAACACCGGUGGCGAAGGCGACUUCCUGGACCAAUACUGACGCUGAGGUGCGAAGGCGCGGGGAGCAAACAGGAUUAGAUACCCCUGUAGUC